AUAAAACCGGCCAUUUUGGUGUGUCAGUCUUUUCCUCACUUAGACUGGAGGGUCUGCACGUGGCCUGGUUACGAGGCUGUCAGAGAACCCACAAGGUGACAAGGCUAAGUCGAUACCAAACUACAAGAUCUUGGCCCUCCACAGAAGAUGUGGCGACUGCAGUCUGUUAACCUCUCUGGGAUAAUAGGGACGGUAGCAUCCCACCUCGCCAACAGCCAGUGAAAUUGCAGGGUGCCAUUCAAAACUGAAAUCCCAUAAUAUUCCUCAAACAUACAAGUAUUUUAUACAAUUUUAAAGAUAAACUUCCUUGUAAAUCUAGCCACAGUGUCCGAUUUCAUAUGGGCUUUACGGCAAAAGCACACCAAACGAUUAUGUUAGGUCAGCACCUAGCCACAGAAAACCAUGAAGCCAUUUUCCAGCCAUGGAGAGCCCUCAGUCAGAAAUAGCAAUUAAAUAAACCUUUGAUCUUCAUCAGGUGGCACUCCCAGGACUCCCAUGUUACACAAAUGUUUGUUUGAUAAAUUUCAUCUUUCUGUCCAAAAACCUCAUUUGAAAUUGGUCUUUUAUGUUCAGAAAUGCAUUGUCUCAAACAAACAUCUGGUGAAAGUGCAGAGAGCCACAUCAAAUUACAGAAAUAGUAAAAAAUAAACAUUGAUAAAAAAUAUACAAGUGUUAUGCAUGGAAAUAUAGAAACUUCUCAAUGCAACUGUCAGAAUUCAAAAAGGCUUUACGGCAAAAGCCCACCGAUUAUUUUAGGUUAGCACCUAGCCACAGAAAAACAUACAGCCAUUUUCCAAAGGAGGCGUCACAAGUCAGAAAUAGUAUUAUGAAUAUUCACUUACCUUUGAUCUUCACCAGAAUGCACUCCCAGGAAUCCCAGUUCAACAUGUUUGUUUUGUUCGAUAAAGUCCAUUUACGUCCAAAUACCUCUUUGUUUGUGCGUUUAGUUCACAAAUCCAAACUCACGAGGCGCAGGAUGGUCCAGGCGAAAGUUCAGAAAAAAAUCUAUAACAGGUCGUAGAAAUAUGCCAAACGAUGUAUAGAAUCAAUCUUUACGGUGAUUUUAUCAUAAAUAUUCAAUAGUGUUUCAACCGGACAAUUCCUUUGUCUUUAGAAAUGCAAUAGAAUGCAGCUAACUCUCUCGGGCAUGAGCGAGACUGAGCUCAUGGCACUCUGCUGGACCACCUGGCUCAAACAGCUCUCAUUAUCUCCCCCUUCGCAGUAGAAGCCUCAAACAAGUUUCUAAAGACUGUUGACAUCUAGUGGAAGCUUUAGGAAGUGCAAUAGGACCCCAUAGACACUGUAUAUUCGAUAGGCAAUGACUUGAAACACUACAAACUUCAGAUUUCCCACUUCCUGGUUGGAUUUUCCCCUCUUUUUUGCCUGCCCUACGAGUUCUGUUAUACUCACAGACGUCAUUCAAACAGUUUUAGAAACAUCGGAGUGUUUUCUAUUCAAAUCUACAAAUUAUAUGCAUAAUCUAGUUUUUGAGCCGGAGUAGCAGGCAGUUCACUCUGGGCACCUUAUUAUCCAAGCUACUAAGAAGUUAAACAUGGGGUGAGAUCAUUAAUGGAUUAUUUAGGGUCCUGUGUUUUGCACGAGGCACUUUUACCUGUAUUUCCAGAAUUAUCCAGCUGGUGUCACUUCAGUCCCUUUAAAAAAAUAUUUUUUAUCAACCAGCUCACCAAUUUAUCAAAGCAGUAAGGAUUAUUUCCCCAACAUGACCAAGAUUGUGAAACAAUAUCCCUUUUGCUAAUAAUUCUGUAGAUUUGGGAAGAAUUGUUAAUACCAGGGCUGACUCAGCAAUGGAAAUGUGCUGACUUAAGUGAGAUUUUUUAUUUAUGUUCCUGAUUAUGUAAGGCUGAAACAUUAAAAUAUUUUAAUCAGA
Long non-coding RNA from Oncorhynchus masou masou (cherry salmon), 1888 nucleotides. RefSeq lists it as uncharacterized. The transcript is spliced from 4 exons. The record is from RefSeq and is a predicted model, not a curated record. Lineage: Eukaryota; Metazoa; Chordata; Actinopteri; Salmoniformes; Salmonidae.